UACAGAGGUCUCAAGCGUUGUUCGGAUUCAUUGGGCGUAAAGGGUGCGUAGGUGGCGCCGUAAGUCAGGUGUGAAAUCCCGGGGCUCAACCCCGGAACUGCACUUGAUACUGCGGUGCUCGAGUACUGGAGAGGAGAUUGGAAUUUACGGUGUAGCGGUGAAAUGCGUAGAUAUCGUAAGGAAGACCAGUGGCGAAGGCGGGUCUCUGGACAGUUCCUGACGCUGAGGCACGAAGGUCAGGGGAGCAAACGGG
RNAcentral lists this ribosomal RNA (253 nucleotides) under uncultured bacterium. RNAcentral's name for it is "partial 16S ribosomal RNA". It matches the Rfam family "Bacterial small subunit ribosomal RNA", at positions 524 to 776 of the family's 1533-position model. The record is from RNAcentral.